Molecule: non-coding RNA, 106 nt
Organism: Paramuricea clavata
Lineage: Eukaryota; Metazoa; Cnidaria; Anthozoa; Malacalcyonacea; Plexauridae
Source: the annotation of a GenBank genome assembly
GUUUGUGGAAACACCACGUAAAUUUAUUACUGCAAAGUUUUCUUUUUUUACGGAUCGAAAGCUUUGCAAUAAUAAAUUUACGUGGUGUUUCCACAAACAAUAGUAU